CCUACGGGGGGCAGCAGUCGAGAAUCAUUCACAAUGGGGGAAACCCUGAUGGUGCGACGCCGCGUGGGGGAAUGAAGGUCUUCGGAUUGUAAACCCCUGUCAUGUGGGAGCAAAUUAAAAAGAUAGUACCACAAGAGGAAGAGACGGCUAACUCUGUGCCAGCAGCCGCGGUAAUACAGAGGUCUCAAGCGUUGUUCGGAAUAACUGGGCGGAAAGCGUGCGUAGGCUGUUUCGUAAGUCGUGUGUGAAAGACGCGGGCUCAACCCGCGGACGGCACAUGAUACUGCGAGACUAGAGUAAUGGAGGGGGAACCGGAAUUCUCGGUGUAGCAGUGAAAUGCGUAGAUAUCGAGAGGAUCACUCGUGGCGAAGGCGGGUUCCUGGACAUUAACUGACGCUGAGGCACGAAGGCCAGGGGAGCGAAAGGGAUUAGAUACCCUAGUAGUC
RNAcentral lists this ribosomal RNA (446 nucleotides) under uncultured bacterium. RNAcentral's name for it is "partial 16S ribosomal RNA". It matches the Rfam family "Bacterial small subunit ribosomal RNA", at positions 338 to 795 of the family's 1533-position model. The record is from RNAcentral.